This 468-nucleotide ribosomal RNA is filed under the name uncultured bacterium. RNAcentral describes it as "partial 16S ribosomal RNA". It matches the Rfam family "Bacterial small subunit ribosomal RNA", at positions 28 to 507 of the family's 1533-position model. The record is from RNAcentral.
GAUGAACGCUGGCGGCGUGCUUAACACAUGCAAGUCGAACGGAAAGGCCCAAGCUUGCUUGGGUACUCGAGUGGCGAACGGGUAAGUAACACGUGGGUGAUCUGCCCUGCACUUCGGGAUAAGCCUGGGGAACUGGGUCUAAUACCGGAUAGGACGAUGGUUUGGAUGCCAUUGUGGAAAGUUUUUUCGGUGUGGGAUGAGCUCGCGGCCUAUCAGCUUGUUGGUGGGGUAAUGGCCUACCAAGGCGUCGACGGGUAGCCGGCCUGAGAGGGUGUACGGCCACAUUGGGACUGAGAUACGGCCCAGACUCCUACGGGAGGCAGCAGUGGGGAAUAUUGCACAAUGGGCGCAAGCCUGAUGCAGCGACGCCGCGUGGGGGAUGACGGCCUUCGGGUUGUAAACUCCUUUCGCUAGGGACGAAGCGUUUUUGUGACGGUACCUGGAGAAGAAGCACCGGCUAACUACGUG